This is a long non-coding RNA of Lynx canadensis (Canada lynx), 1655 nucleotides long. RefSeq lists it as uncharacterized. The record is from RefSeq and is a predicted model, not a curated record. The transcript is spliced from 5 exons. Lineage: Eukaryota; Metazoa; Chordata; Mammalia; Carnivora; Felidae.
CCGUGAGAUUGUGACCUGAGCUGAAGUCCUGCGAUUAACACCCGAGCCACCCGGGUGCCCUUAACUCUUCCCUCUUGAUAUUCGCAUCCCGUGCACUUUUCUCCACCUUGAUGCACGCUGCCCAGUACGAUAUUAUGACUGAGAGAACAUGGAAACGACGAGGUGUUACUUUGGAGGCUAGGUCAUAGAAGGCAUUGCCAGUUGUGCCUUCCUCUGUCCUGGAUCACUGGCUCUGGGGAAGACAGUUGUCACGAACACAGUUAAGCAGCCUCGUGAAGAGAUCUUUGUGGUGAAGAACUGAGGCCUCCUGUCAACAGCCAUCACCAGAUUGCUAGCUCUGUCCACAUUCCAUUUUGGAAUUGGCUCCUCCUGCCCCCACCAAGCCUUCAGAUGAGCACAGCCCUGGCGGACACGUCCCGGGAAACCCUGAGCCACAACUACCCAGCUGGUGAUUUGUAGCUCUGGCUCGGUCCCCAGGGAGCUGAAUCAUGGUGCCUUUGCUAACGAUGCCUCAUGCGGAUACCACGUGCUCCCUCUUCACCCAGAAUGCCUACCUCGGGAUUUGGGAUCUCCGACUACACUGGACAACCUUGCCCAUAACUCCGUGGCCCCUGACCCUGGCCUCCAGAUGCGGGACCUCCGUGUUCUUCACCAUCUGCUUUUACUCCAGAUCUUCAGGUGGAUGGAGUCUUACAGCCGUGGUGUUAGGAUGAGCAGAUGAUGUCACGUGACAUACCCAAUUUCAGAAGCUAGAGAGGAAAUAUUCAUUAAACUUCAAGUGUGAAUUGACACAGGCAUCAAAGGAAAUAGCACGUAAAAGAAACAGCACAGAGUUCCCCACUGAUUUUCUACAACAUGAGAACAAUUAUUCUACAGACUCCGUUAUAACUGCUCGGACAUUACCCGUUGCUCAGCUGGGAGAGCUCGGCCUGCAAGGGUGAGUUACUGUGAUAACACGAAGACAUUCUCUCGUGUUUAGAAAGAGAAACAGACAUGGGUCACAUAAUGGGGGAUAAUUUGGAUGAGGAAAGAUGUACUGAAUGCUAAAUGCUUUAGCUGUGUUGAGGGCACCUUGAAAGCAAAGAUGAAGUAGUUAUGUCUCAUUAUCUUUAAGUCAAGUAGUAGGAGGUAGAAUUUUGGGAUUCUAAACUGUCAUUGUAGCUCAUGCCAAAGCCGUUGAGAGCCCAGGAACAGUCGCAUCGAUUUCCCAACAGUCUUGCUAUGAGCUGUUGAAUGGGACUCCAAUCUUAGGGCAACUUUCUGCCUGGUCGUGUUGUGCUUUGAGAGGGGUGCUGCUUAAAACACUGCGUACAAGGAGCCCAGACGUGCAUGGUCCCAGUUGGACAGACUGACUGGAACAGCAGUGAGAGCCGUGUAGGGUAGCUGUGAGCAGAACCUCUUCAGCCAUCUCCGUUUCCAGUGGUGGUGAUGGUACCUGGUCUCUUCCCUUUCCCUGAGCUGUGAAAGAGAAAGAAGACACACACAUCGCUGGAGAGUUUAUGAUUUACUUGAAGACUUGCCUGCGUUUUCUAUUUAGGACUCUGUUUUGACCGAGAGUGUUGGUAACGUGGAGUUAAACUGAAUCGUUGUAGGCAGUGCAUGCUUUUCUUGGCGAGAGUGUAUUUUAGGAUCUACGGGUAUCCCGUUGAACUAGA